UGGGCUCGCGGCCUAUCAGCUUGUUGGUGAGGUAAAAGCUCACCAAGGCUAAGACGGGUAGCUGGUCUGAGAGGAUGAUCAGCCACACCGGGACUGAGACACGGCCCGGACACCUACGGGUGGCAGCAGUUUCGAAUCAUUCACAAUGGGCGAAAGCCUGAUGAUGCAAUGCCGCGUGGAGGAUGAAGGCCUUAGGGUCGUAAACUCCUGUCAUUAGGGAACAACAAAUAGGUUUAUAGCCUAUUCUGAGUUAACCUAAAGAGGAAGAGGUGGCUAACUCCGUGCCAGCAGCCGCGGUAAUACGGAGACCUCGAGCGUUACUCGGAUUUACUGGGCGUAAAGGGUGAGCAGGCGGCCAAGUGUGUCAGGUGUGAAAUCCCGGGGCUUAACCCCGGAACUGCGCCUGAAACUACUUGGCUAGAGUCUCGGAGAGGACAGUGGAAUUCUAGGUGUAGCGGUGAA
Molecule: ribosomal RNA, 462 nt
Filed under: Verrucomicrobia bacterium SCGC AAA158-J07
Lineage: Bacteria; Pseudomonadati; Verrucomicrobiota
Description: bacterial SSU rRNA
Rfam family: Bacterial small subunit ribosomal RNA
Source: RNAcentral